RNAcentral lists this ribosomal RNA (467 nucleotides) under uncultured bacterium. Its description in RNAcentral is "partial 16S ribosomal RNA". It matches the Rfam family "Bacterial small subunit ribosomal RNA", at positions 29 to 507 of the family's 1533-position model. The record is from RNAcentral.
ACGAACGCUGGCGGCGUGCUUAACACGUGCAGGUCGAACGGAAAGGCCCUGCUUUUGUGGGGUGCUCGAGUGGCGAACGGGUGAGUAACACGUGAGUAACCUGCCCUUGACUUUGGGAUAACUUCAGGAAACUGGGGCUAAUACCGGAUAGGAGCUCCUGCUGCAUGGUGGGGGUUGGAAAGUUUCGGCGGUUGGGGAUGGACUCGCGGCUUAUCAGCUUGUUGGUGGGGUAGUGGCUUACCAAGGCUUUGACGGGUAGCCGGCCUGAGAGGGUGACCGGCCACAUUGGGACUGAGAUACGGCCCAGACUCCUACGGGAGGCAGCAGUGGGGAAUAUUGCACAAUGGGCGGAAGCCUGAUGCAGCAACGCCGCGUGCGGGAUGACGGCCUUCGGGUUGUAAACCGCUUUCGCCUGUGACGAAGCGUGAGUGACGGUAAUGGGUAAAGAAGCACCGGCUAACUACGUG